UGGUUGAUCCUGUUAAUAAUCAUAUGCUUGUCUCAAAGAUUAAGCCAUGCAUGUCUAAGUAUAAACAACUUUGUACUGUGAAACUGCGAAUGGCUCAUUAAAUCAGUUAUAGUUUAUUUGAUGGUAUCUUGCUACAUGGAUAACUGUGGUAAUUCUAGAGCUAAUACAUGCAAUCAAGCCCCAACUUCUGGAAGGGGUGUAUUUAUUAGAUAAAAAACCUACGCGGCUCGCCGCUCCCUUGGUGAUUCAUAAUAACUUCUCGAAUCGCAUGGCCUUGUGCCGGUGAUGCUUCAUUCAAAUAUCUGCCCUAUCAACUUUCGAUGGUAGGAUAAAGGCCUACCAUGGUUUCAACGGGUAACGGGGAAUAAUGGUUCGAUUCCGGAUAGGGAGCAUGAAAAACGGCUACCACAUCCAAUGAA
This 419-nucleotide ribosomal RNA is filed under the name uncultured eukaryote. RNAcentral's name for it is "SSU rRNA". It matches the Rfam family "Eukaryotic small subunit ribosomal RNA", at positions 5 to 423 of the family's 1831-position model. The record is from RNAcentral.